RNAcentral lists this ribosomal RNA (876 nucleotides) under Serratia nematodiphila. RNAcentral describes it as "bacterial SSU rRNA". It matches the Rfam family "Bacterial small subunit ribosomal RNA", at positions 30 to 895 of the family's 1533-position model. The record is from RNAcentral. Lineage: Bacteria; Pseudomonadati; Pseudomonadota; Gammaproteobacteria; Enterobacterales; Yersiniaceae.
GGGGCCUUGGGGGCCGGCCUUACAAUGCAGUCGAGCGGUAGCACAGGGGAGCUUGCUCCCCGGGUGACGAGCGGCGGACGGGUGAGUAAUGUCUGGGAAACUGCCUGAUGGAGGGGGAUAACUACUGGAAACGGUAGCUAAUACCGCAUAACGUCGCAAGACCAAAGAGGGGGACCUUCGGGCCUCUUGCCAUCAGAUGUGCCCAGAUGGGAUUAGCUAGUAGGUGGGGUAAUGGCUCACCUAGGCGACGAUCCCUAGCUGGUCUGAGAGGAUGACCAGCCACACUGGAACUGAGACACGGUCCAGACUCCUACGGGAGGCAGCAGUGGGGAAUAUUGCACAAUGGGCGCAAGCCUGAUGCAGCCAUGCCGCGUGUGUGAAGAAGGCCUUCGGGUUGUAAAGCACUUUCAGCGAGGAGGAAGGUGGUGAGCUUAAUACGCUCAUCAAUUGACGUUACUCGCAGAAGAAGCACCGGCUAACUCCGUGCCAGCAGCCGCGGUAAUACGGAGGGUGCAAGCGUUAAUCGGAAUUACUGGGCGUAAAGCGCACGCAGGCGGUUUGUUAAGUCAGAUGUGAAAUCCCCGGGCUCAACCUGGGAACUGCAUUUGAAACUGGCAAGCUAGAGUCUCGUAGAGGGGGGUAGAAUUCCAGGUGUAGCGGUGAAAUGCGUAGAGAUCUGGAGGAAUACCGGUGGCGAAGGCGGCCCCCUGGACGAAGACUGACGCUUCAGUGCGAAAGCGUGGGGAGCAAACAGGAUUAGAUACCCCUGGUAGUCCACGCUGUAAACGAUGUUGAUUUGGAGGUUGUGCCCUUGAGGCGUGGCUUCCGGAGCUUAACGCGUUAAAUCGACCGCCUGGGGAGUACAGUCGCAAGGUC